RNAcentral lists this long non-coding RNA (1714 nucleotides) under Homo sapiens (human). RNAcentral's name for it is "PREDICTED lncRNA (TCONS_00273416)". The record is from RNAcentral. Lineage: Eukaryota; Metazoa; Chordata; Mammalia; Primates; Hominidae.
CUGGCCUUCCCCCACCCACCAAAUUAUUCUUAAAAAUCCUGAUCCCUGAAUGCUCAGGGAGACUGAUUUGAGUAAUAAUAAAACUACUGUCUCCCACACAGCCGGCUCUGCAUGAAUUGCUCUUUAUUGCAAUUCCCCUGUCUUGAGAAAUCGCUUCUGUCUAGGCAGCGGGCAAGGUGAGCCCAUUGGGCAGUUACAAGGAGACACGGAGACACAGAGACACAAAGACAGACACACAAAAAAGAGACUGUCAUGUGAAAAGACAGACACACAGAGAGAACAUCGUAAGAAGACAGAGGAGGAGAUUGGAGAGAAGCAACUGUAAGCCAAGGAACACCAAAGACUGCAGGAAACCCCAAAAACUAGGAACAGGGCAUGGAACAGAUUCUACCCAUAUUCUCAGGAAGAGUCCCUGCCAACACCUGGAAUUCAAGCUUCUGGAUUCCAGAUCUAAAAAACCUGGGCUUAGAUAAUGAUUACGCCAAACCACUGGAUUCAAGAAAAAGCUCGUCAUGCCCAACUAUUGCAUGACAGUAUGUGAGAGCCAACCGACUAAAGAUAUUUUAGGAGAAUAAAAUAUUUGGAGAGCAUUGGAGUAAGGACUGUCAUUCCUGGAAUGGAAGCAUUUAAUUAAAAUGACCAUAAGCCUGAAGUGACUGGGGCAUGGGAAUAUCCUUGAUGAGAAGAUAGUGAAGCAUGUAACACCCUGGGAUAGAUGGUGCUGAUGGAACAUUUUGAGGAGACCCAAGUUGUUGGUGGAGGUGAUGGGAGACUCAGGACAACAGAAAGUAUGGGAUUUUCAAUGCUGCAGAAAUGGGGCUGAUAUGGUUUGGCUCUGUCCCCACCCAAAUAUCACCUUGAACUGUAGCUCCCAUAAUUCCCAUGUGUGGUGGGAGGGACCCAGUGGGAGGUAAUUGAAUCAUGGGGGCUGGUUUCUCCCAUGCUAUUCUCAUGAUAGUGAGUAAGUCUCACGAGAUCUGAUGGUUUUAUAAAGGGGAGUUUCCCUACACAAAUUCUGUCUUGCCUGCUGCCAUGUAAGACGUGACUUUGCUCCUUAUUCACCUUCUGCUGCGAUUGUGAUGCCACCCCCAGCCAUGAGUGAGCCAAACUCACUGUUACUGUGAGUCAAUUAAACCUCUUUCCUUUAUAAAUUACUCAGUCUCAGAUAUGUCUUUAUUAGUAGCAUGAGAACGGACUAAUACAGGGGCUCUGUUCUGACUAGGACAGAAAUUUAACACUUGGCAUCACAGAAUGGCCCCAACCUGAGCUAGCAGUGGGUGAAUGGUCAGCUCACAGUACAAGCUGCUUUUGGUAAACGUCUUGCAGACUGCAACCAGCCUAAAGCUAAAAUCACAGUAAAUAAGCAUGAGCGGAUAUAAAAGAGAGAUGAUAGAUUUGUGAUUUGUUGACAUAACCACCAGGACAUCUGUAUCACAAGUGAAAAUUAUAGCCUGAUUCCCAGAUGCUGACCGCCAUGCAGGGAAAGGCCUAGCAAUGCAGUGAAUUCCUAAUUCAUUUAUUAGCUUUGAUGACUUUUCAUGGACUGGGAAGGAAAUCCCUAAAACAUAUGGAUCUUAUAUCCUCUUGUGAAGAAUGUUGGUUUCACAAGGCAGAAGGAAAAGAAAGAGCUAGUAGGAGAGCAACAUAUGAGGUGGCUUCUUUCUCUUAUAUGAAAUUUGUGGAUAUUAUUUUCAACUAAGACCUAGAAUCUGCA